RNAcentral lists this ribosomal RNA (215 nucleotides) under uncultured bacterium. RNAcentral describes it as "partial 16S ribosomal RNA". It matches the Rfam family "Bacterial small subunit ribosomal RNA", at positions 1286 to 1500 of the family's 1533-position model. The record is from RNAcentral.
UCCCAGUUCGGAUUGCAGGCUGCAACCCGCCUGUAUGAAGUUGGAAUCGCUAGUAAUCGCGGAUCAGCAUGCCGCGGUGAAUACGUUCCCGGGCCUUGUACACACCGCCCGUCACACCAUGAGAGUCGGGAACACCCGAAGUCCGUAGCCUAACCGCAAGGGGGGCGCGGCCGAAGGUGGGUUCGAUAAUUGGGGUGAAGUCGUAACAAGGUAUC